Schistosoma curassoni is the source of this 77-nucleotide non-coding RNA. NCBI's taxonomy places the organism in Eukaryota, Metazoa, Platyhelminthes, Trematoda, Strigeidida, Schistosomatidae. The record is from Rfam.
AGCUUUUUGAAUCCGUGCUGAGAUUUCGUCAGACACCCACCCAUUAAUCUGAUCAGACUUCCAAGAUGAGUGAAGUU